GUGCACCAGUCGCGAAACCUCCGCAAUACACGAAAGUGUGACGGGGCCAUCCCGAGUGCCGUCCGCUGAGGACGGCUUUUCCCCAGUGUACACAGCUGGGGGAAUAAGGAGAGGGCAAGCCUGGUGUCAGCCGCCGCGGUAAUACCAGCUCUCCGAGUGGUGGGGACGCUUAUUGGGCCUAAAGCAUCCGUAGCCGGCUGGGCAAGUCCUCCGUUAAAUCCAACGAUUCAAUCGUUGGGCUGCGGGGGAUACUGUCCAGCUUGGGGGCGGGAGAGGCCGACGGUAUUCCCGGGGUAGGGUGAAAUCCUAAUAAUCCCGGGAGGACCACCAGUGGCGAAGGCUGUCGGCUAGAACGCGCCCGACGGUGAGGGAUGAAAGCGUGGGGGAGCGAACCGGAUUAGAUA
RNAcentral lists this ribosomal RNA (404 nucleotides) under uncultured microorganism. RNAcentral describes it as "bacterial SSU rRNA". It matches the Rfam family "Archaeal small subunit ribosomal RNA", at positions 330 to 735 of the family's 1478-position model. The record is from RNAcentral.